AUGUGGCGGGUCCGCGUCGCCGGCGAGCCUGUCAAUAAUCGGUCCCGACUUGGCGGAGGUGACCGGGCCGGAGAAGAGCUGCCGGCUGCUCUGGUCGUGGCAUUGGCUGCUCUGCUGGUGCUCUCGGUCCUUGUGGUCGUCACUGACAAGGAGGAGGUCGAGGCCGCGCAUGGGGUCGCCGAAGACGAGACAGAUGCGGUGGUAGACGGCGCAGACGGCGCGCGCGAGCAGGAGCACGGCCUUGUCGUAGGUCCAGCCCCAGAGCGAGGCGUCGCGGAGGCGGCGCGCGUCCUGGCGCCGCCAGCGGGCGCGCUGCAGGAGCGCGCGGCGGGCCUCGUCGGUGGGGAGCUUGCGGGCCGACUCCUCGAGGUCGGCGAGCGCGUCCAGCUCGGCGUAGAGCGCGGCCGUGGCGGACGCGAGGCGGUCGAGCUGCCGGAGGAGCUGCGCCUCGGACUGAGACGCGGGGGCGAAGAAGGGGUAGGCCGAGGCAGGGGAGCGGCCGGCGAGGAGGUCGGCGUAGACGUGGUCGAAGCCCUGGAGCGCCGGGGCGGCGCAGCGGCGGCCGAGGCGCGCGGCGACGGCGGCGACGCGGUUGAGCGCGUCGAGCUUCUCGGCAAGCGCGAGGGCGAGGAGGCGCGCGUCGUCGCCCGGGACGAGCGCGCGGACGGCGUGGGAGCCGAGGCAGAGCGGGCCGAGCAGGCGGGCGGCCUCGGCGGCGGAGAGCGAGCGGUGGAGGCUGGCGGCGCGCGACAUGGCGUUGGCCAGCUCGAAGGACAGGAUGCCGACCCUGCCGCCGGCGCCGUCCCUGUCCCCCUUCCUGCCGGCCUUCUUGUUGGAGAGGGUGGCGGUGGCCAUGGCGAGCACCUUGUGCACCAGCGGCUCGGCCACCAUGGCCUCCCUCCCAAGGUGCUUGUGCUGGUGCGGCGGAGAAAGGAAGGAGUAAAUCCAAGCAACGCGACGGCGCGUGGAUUUGAAUUGGAACCCCUCCCUCCCCUUGGCUGGCUCCGAUCUAUCUCGAAAAUCAAUGGCGGAGCAGAGAAGUCAACGCGUCGGGACAGUACUGGCAGUACUGUUACCAGACAGCAGCAGCCAGCAGCGCUGCCGCCAUUAACCAGAGAGAGAGAGAGAGAGAGAGACAGACCAAAAAGGAGCUGGCCGGGAAGAUGGGGGAGGAAGAAACAAAAAAGAACGAAAAUCUCUCUCUCUCUCUCUCGCCGGUCGGGUCCCUGCUUCCUUCCUACCAGGAAUUAG
RNAcentral lists this ribosomal RNA (1251 nucleotides) under Triticum aestivum (bread wheat). Its description in RNAcentral is "partial small subunit ribosomal RNA". The record is from RNAcentral. Lineage: Eukaryota; Viridiplantae; Streptophyta; Magnoliopsida; Poales; Poaceae.